RNAcentral lists this ribosomal RNA (848 nucleotides) under Pseudomonas koreensis. Its description in RNAcentral is "bacterial SSU rRNA". It matches the Rfam family "Bacterial small subunit ribosomal RNA", at positions 76 to 920 of the family's 1533-position model. Lineage: Bacteria; Pseudomonadati; Pseudomonadota; Gammaproteobacteria; Pseudomonadales; Pseudomonadaceae. The record is from RNAcentral.
GAGCUUGCUCCUGGAUUCAGCGGCGGACGGGUGAGUAAUGCCUAGGAAUCUGCCUGGUAGUGGGGGACAACGUUUCGAAAGGAACGCUAAUACCGCAUACGUCCUACGGGAGAAAGCAGGGGACCUUCGGGCCUUGCGCUAUCAGAUGAGCCUAGGUCGGAUUAGCUAGUUGGUGAGGUAAUGGCUCACCAAGGCGACGAUCCGUAACUGGUCUGAGAGGAUGAUCAGUCACACUGGAACUGAGACACGGUCCAGACUCCUACGGGAGGCAGCAGUGGGGAAUAUUGGACAAUGGGCGAAAGCCUGAUCCAGCCAUGCCGCGUGUGUGAAGAAGGUCUUCGGAUUGUAAAGCACUUUAAGUUGGGAGGAAGGGUUGUAGAUUAAUACUCUGCAAUUUUGACGUUACCGACAGAAUAAGCACCGGCUAACUCUGUGCCAGCAGCCGCGGUAAUACAGAGGGUGCAAGCGUUAAUCGGAAUUACUGGGCGUAAAGCGCGCGUAGGUGGUUUGUUAAGUUGGAUGUGAAAUCCCCGGGCUCAACCUGGGAACUGCAUCCAAAACUGGCAAGCUAGAGUAUGGUAGAGGGUGGUGGAAUUUCCUGUGUAGCGGUGAAAUGCGUAGAUAUAGGAAGGAACACCAGUGGCGAAGGCGACCACCUGGACUGAUACUGACACUGAGGUGCGAAAGCGUGGGGAGCAAACAGGAUUAGAUACCCUGGUAGUCCACGCCGUAAACGAUGUCAACUAGCCGUUGGGAGCCUUGAGCUCUUAGUGGCGCAGCUAACGCAUUAAGUUGACCGCCUGGGGAGUACGGCCGCAAGGUUAAAACUCAAAUGAAUUGACGGGGGC